UACGGAGGGGGCUAGCGUUGUUCGGAAUUACUGGGCGUAAAGCGCACGUAGGCGGCUUUGUAAGUUAGAGGUGAAAGCCCGGAGCUCAACUCCGGAAUUGCCUUUAAGACUGCAUCGCUUGAACAUCGGAGAGGUGAGUGGAAUUCCGAGUGUAGAGGUGAAAUUCGUAGAUAUUCGGAAGAACACCAGUGGCGAAGGCGACUCACUGGACGAUUGUUGACGCUGAGGUGCGAAAGCGUAGGGAGCAAACAGG
RNAcentral lists this ribosomal RNA (253 nucleotides) under uncultured bacterium. Its description in RNAcentral is "partial 16S ribosomal RNA". It matches the Rfam family "Bacterial small subunit ribosomal RNA", at positions 524 to 776 of the family's 1533-position model. The record is from RNAcentral.